Molecule: ribosomal RNA, 465 nt
Filed under: uncultured Klebsiella sp.
Lineage: Bacteria; Pseudomonadati; Pseudomonadota; Gammaproteobacteria; Enterobacterales; Enterobacteriaceae
Description: bacterial SSU rRNA
Rfam family: Bacterial small subunit ribosomal RNA
Source: RNAcentral
CCUACGGGUGGCAGCAGUGGGGAAUAUUGCACAAUGGGCGCAAGCCUGAUGCAGCCAUGCCGCGUGUGUGAAGAAGGCCUUCGGGUUGUAAAGCACUUUCAGCGGGGAGGAAGGCGGUGAGGUUAAUAACCUCAUCGAUUGACGUUACCCGCAGAAGAAGCACCGGCUAACUCCGUGCCAGCAGCCGCGGUAAUACGGAGGGUGCAAGCGUUAAUCGGAAUUACUGGGCGUAAAGCGCACGCAGGCGGUCUGUCAAGUCGGGUGUGAAAUCCCCGGGCUCAACCUGGGAACUGCAUUCGAAACUGGCAGGCUAGAGUCUUGUAGAGGGGGGUAGAAUUCCAGGUGUAGCGGUGAAAUGCGUAGAGAUCUGGAGGAAUACCGGUGGCGAAGGCGGCCCCCUGGACAAAGACUGACGCUCAGGUGCGAAAGCGUGGGGAGCAAACAGGAUUAGAUACCCCAGUAGUC